This 826-nucleotide ribosomal RNA is filed under the name uncultured bacterium. Its description in RNAcentral is "bacterial SSU rRNA". It matches the Rfam family "Bacterial small subunit ribosomal RNA", at positions 8 to 787 of the family's 1533-position model. The record is from RNAcentral.
AGAGUUUGAUCCUGGCUCAGAAUGAACGCUGGCGGCGUGCCUAAUACAUGCAAGUCGAACGCACUGUGGUUCAACUGAUUUGAAGAGCUUGCUCUGAUAUGACGAUGAACAUUGCAGUGAGUGGCGAACGGGUGAGUAACACGUGGGAAACCUACCUCUUAGCGGGGGAUAACAUCUGGAAACAGAUGCUAAUACCGCAUAACACUAGCAACCGCAUGGUUGCUACUUGAAAGAUGGUUCUGCUAUCACUAAGAGAUGGUCCCGCGGCGCAUUAGUUAGUUGGUGAGGUAAUGGCUCACCAAGACGAUGAUGCGUAGCCGAGUUGAGAGACUGAUCGGCCACAAUGGGACUGAGACACGGCCCAUACUCCUACGGGAGGCAGCAGUAGGGAAUCUUCCACAAUGGACGAAAGUCUGAUGGAGCAACGCCGCGUGUGUGAUGAAGGGUUUCGGCUCGUAAAACACUGUUGUAAGAGAAGAAUAGCAUCAAGAGUAACUGCUUGGUGUGUGACGGUAUCUUACCAGAAAGGAACGGCUAAAUACGUGCCAGCAGCCGCGGUAAUACGUAUGUUCCAAGCGUUAUCCGGAUUUAUUGGGCGUAAAGCGAGCGCGGACGGUUUUUUAAGUCCGAAGUGAAAGCCCACAGCUUAACUGUGGAAGUGCUUUGGAAACUGGAUGACUUGAGUGCAGUAGAGGAGAGUGGAAUUCCAUGUGUAGCGGUGAAAUGCGUAGAUAUAUGGAGGAACACCAGUGGCGAAUGCGGCUCUCUGGACUGUAACUGACGUUGAGGCUCGAAAGUGGUGGGUAGCAAACAGGAUUAGAUACCC